Molecule: ribosomal RNA, 271 nt
Filed under: uncultured bacterium
Lineage: Bacteria
Description: partial 16S ribosomal RNA
Rfam family: Bacterial small subunit ribosomal RNA
Source: RNAcentral
CCCGCCGGCGACCGGCGCACGGGUGAGUAACACGUAUGCAACCUGGCCGCCACAGGGGGAUAACCCGCGGAAACGCGGCCUAAUACCCCGUGACGCCACCGGAGGGCAUCCUCCGGUGGCCAAAGGAGCGAUCCGGUGGCGGAUGGGCAUGCGGCGCAUUGCUAGACGGCGGGGUGACGGCCCACCGUGGCGACGAUGCGUAGGGGUUCUGAGAGGAAGGCCCCCCACACUGGGACUGAGACACGGCCCAGACUCCUACGGGAGGCAGCAG